UGCUCCGGCAGUCCGCACGGUAUCGAUUUGGAUACGCAGAGAAACCCCUGGACAGGCGUAGGCAUCGAUUAUUAUUAGAAACGGCCGAAACGCGCAGUCGAUCGACCGAAUCAGCACCUACGUUCUACAACAACGCUUCCGCAAUAAACGCGCCCCAACUCACGCGGAUGUGAAAUAUAAAAGCAACAGGUCGCGAGAGUUAUUGGCCGACUACGAAUGACAAGACAGAAGACACCUAAUCGGGCGAUGGCUAUGAAGAGCCGGAGAGGACGACAUGGUCGCGCAGGACAUCGAGACGGCACGGUGUUGUCACGAUUAAGACAAGUGUCGUAAAUAAGAAUAAGUAAUCGCAAGCGUGACUUUCGAUGUAGCACCGACGUUUGUCGAGGACGUCGUCGAGGACGGCGACCGCGAGGCCGCAUAGAGGAAGCUUCGCAGAGAAGGCAGAGAAGAGAAGAAGACGAAGAAGUGGCGCUCGGGCAUCGGGACGUCUUGUCGCUGGCAUUGGUAGCAGUCUCGAGAUAGCCGUCGGCUGGCUUCCUCACUGGCUCGGGCGAUUUAUUCGGGGAUUCCUAGGUGGCCGAAGUGGCGAGAGCGACCGACCGACCGACGUUGACGACGACGGCGACGACAACGACGUCCGCAAGCCGGCGAAGAGGAUCGUCACGCUCUCGUUCUCAGCAGACGGAGAGAACGAUCAUCUCACGCACAAUAAUAAUGUAACAUUGAACACGACGACAUGGCAUUCAGUUCGCGAAUGAGCACAACAUCCAAAAGAAAAAAAGAAUUUUCGUUGGAGCUAAGUCGCACCACUAUCACCAGCGGGACUGGGAUUCAACGGGAAGUAACCAAGGAGGUCGUGCGCUCCACGGGCAAGGUGAGUACUGAUUUCGCACUCUGAAUAAGAGAAAUUCAAUUCACUUUGCGUCGUGCGCGAAGAGGAAGAAACAAAGAACGUGAGAGAUACCGAGAGGAGACGGUUUCAUUGCGCGGAUUCAGUUGAGAUGACGAGUCAAACGCUCGCGUUUGGAUUAGUUUAUAUGAAAGCGCGGUGAUACCGCUUAUUUACGGAGACAUAGAGAGCGAUUUAUAUCGCGCACGCGAUGUUGAAUGCGCGGAAUUGGAACAAGUGAUACGUUUGUGUCACGCCCGAAUGAAUGAUAGCGGCUCUGAUGGACUAUUGUGUAAAACACCAGACCACCUUUGAACGACUGCCCGAAACACAAACAAUAACCGCACGUGUCACCGUUACCGUCGCGUCCGAGAAACUCGAGUGUAAAAACGAAUUGUAAAAAUAUUACAUACUCGAGACUCUUUCUUCUGUCUCCAACCUGUCAAGCGCGUGUAAUUCAAGUAUCCUUGGAAAGGUUACGCGUUUUUUUCUCUUUACAUUCUUCCCUCGUCACCGUCUUGUCGGUUUGGUGGAAAAAUCUGGGAACCACUGAUCGAAACGGUAGCCGAAGGCGAGAUGCAUGACGGAGGUAGAUGGAAUACCUGAUUCGAUGCCAAGAGUCGAAAGUCUACGCACCGUUGUCGAGUGCGUCUUCGUCGUUCACGCAAUGUCUUUUCCCUUUCAUUUUCUUCUUUCUUUUUUUUACGAUUUUCUUUUUUGUCCGUCACCAUCUCUCCCUUUUCCCUCCUCUCUCUCUCUCUCUCUCUCUCUCUCUCUCUUUCUCUCUCUCUCUCUCAUCGUAAGAGAUCAAUAUGAUUGAAGAGAACCGACAAACUCUUCAAUUAACAAUUGAACUUGGCAAAUUUAAUUGACGAUUGAUAUGGUAGGUUAUAAGUUAUUUCGCGUUAGCGUAGAGAGCACU
Long non-coding RNA from Odontomachus brunneus, 1814 nucleotides. RefSeq lists it as uncharacterized. NCBI's taxonomy places the organism in Eukaryota, Metazoa, Arthropoda, Insecta, Hymenoptera, Formicidae. The record is from RefSeq and is a predicted model, not a curated record. The transcript has 4 exons.